This 274-nucleotide long non-coding RNA is filed under the name Prunus persica (peach). RNAcentral's name for it is "long non-coding RNA (PPER_LNC005248)". Lineage: Eukaryota; Viridiplantae; Streptophyta; Magnoliopsida; Rosales; Rosaceae. The record is from RNAcentral.
GGAACUAGUCAAACAAUCCUCCGGUUAGAUUGUUUCCCCGGUACAACUAGGUAUUUGGUCAUAUUUAUAUUAUAUAUAUAUAUAUAUCUCUUAUAUUAUUUAUAUAUUUACAUAUGUAUUUAACUAUUCAUUCAUUCUUGUUUUUUUUUCGGUGAGGAUACUUCCUUGCCGGUCGUGCCAAUGGGUACGCUUUCGAGAGUUUGGUUUGGGACUUAUAAUAUUUAAUUGGUGGGUUUGGUUAGUGUUCUGUUUGGAUUUCGGACUUGGCAUCCGG